Non-coding RNA from Odocoileus virginianus texanus, 1647 nucleotides. The record is from RefSeq and is a predicted model, not a curated record. NCBI's taxonomy places the organism in Eukaryota, Metazoa, Chordata, Mammalia, Artiodactyla, Cervidae.
CUUUAUAUAGUGUCAUAAAGAAUGAUGCAUUAUAAAAGAUAAAUUUCAAAUUUCAAGGUAUAGCUUAAAUCAAAUAUAAUUUAACCAAGAAAAACCUUACAGAUUGCAGAUAUACAUAGAGUAGGGGGCAUUUCUUUGACAGAAUCCUGUGAUGUUUGCUUUUUAAAAAAGCAUUGUAAGCAGGCAAAACUAAGAGGCGUAAAGCUCUUGAAUAAAACAGUUUCUUUUUCUUUUUGAAAGAGAGUUAAGUCCUGAAUUCAUAAGUUGUUUUACAAACCCAACCCCCAAACACUCAGAAUUUAUUUUUGCUUCUUGUCCUCUUCAGUAUUUCAUUUGGCUGUCUUUAUCAACUUUGCCAGUUCUUUAUCAACUUUAAAUAGCUAUUUUGUGUAUUUGGGGUCUUAAUCCCUUUUUUGACAUGUGGUACAAAUAUAUUAUCCCAGUCUCUCAGUUGGCUUUUGACUUUGUGGUUUGCUUGACAUAUAGACUACUUUAAUUAUCUAAUCAUGCCUGUCAGUCUUUUUCUUUAUAAUUUCUAGGUUCAUGUCUUGGUCACCACCAUUCCACCAAAGUUAAUAAGUCUAAUUUUUUUUCUAUAUUUUUGUCUUGUUAAGUUUAAAUUUUGUUUUUCUCAUUUUUGCAACUUGGGCAGAAAUUUCUUUGUUGUUUAAUAUAAAUGAGCCUGUUUAUUAUGCUGUUGAAUUUCUUCUCUUGAUCAAAAACUUCUUUCUUCACUGUUUAGGGAUAUAAUUAUUUUAAACAACCUCUCUUGAUUUUGAAGAAAUGCUUUUCUGGUUUUUCCAGGUCAAUUUGGACGCUCUACCUGUGUUUGAAAAUAAUCGUGUAUUCAUCUAAUAACAGUUCUGUCUGCAGGUUUGCCAGGUCCUGGAUGGAAUGGAGAGGGCUCCUACUCAACCUCUAACUAUCUUUUCUGAGAGUGGUCAGAGAGUUCUUAAACAGGAUAUUUAUUUGACUGCUACCUUAAAAUACAGGCCGUAAAAAUGCCAGCUUGUUUGGACUUAGAAGAUGACCUGGACAAAUGAUAAAAAUUAAGAAAGACAUUUUGGUUUUUUUAUUGUCCACUUGACAUAUGCUUCUGGAAUAAUAUUCACCAUGGUUUUGGAUGACCUUCCAAACUUAGAAGACAUCUAUACUUCCUUGUGUUCAUCAACAGUAGAAGACUCAGAGAUGGAUUUUGACUCUGGACUAGAAGAUGAUGACUCAAAAAGUGAUAGUAUGUUGGAGGAUUCCACAAUCUUUGUGGCCUUCAAAGGAAAUAUAGAUGAUAAAGACUUCAAAUGGAAAUUGGACACAAUAUUGGAGAAUGUGCCCAAUUUGUUACACAUGGAAUCCAGCAAGCUAAAGGUACAGAAGGUGGAGCCCUGGAACAGCGUGCGUGUGACAUUCAAUAUCCCCCGGGAAGCAGCGGAGCGGCUUCGGAUCCUGGCUCAAAGCAACAACCAGCAGCUUCGGGAUCUGGGAAUUCUCUCCGUUCAGAUUGAAGGUAAAUGUCUGGUUCCAGAUUAUAGGAAUACUAGAAUAUAGCAUGAUUUAUAGCAUGUGCCACUUUGUCUGUUCCUCUUAAGUUGAAUUCACAAUGCCAAAUAACUCACAGAAAGUUAACCAAAAUGAUCACAUGGAUCAUAG